This 1334-nucleotide long non-coding RNA is filed under the name Fukomys damarensis (Damara mole-rat). RNAcentral describes it as "lncRNA (ENSFDAG00000030659.1)". The record is from RNAcentral. Lineage: Eukaryota; Metazoa; Chordata; Mammalia; Rodentia; Bathyergidae.
AAGUUGGUGCUGUUUUUGAUUUUUGGCUUUUGGGGUCUUUUCUUUGGUUUUCGGUUUUUUGAGACAGAGUCUCCCUGUGUAGUUCAGGCUGGGCUUGAACUCACAGUGUAACCCAGGCUGGCCUUAAAUUCAUGGCGAUCCUCCAGCCUCAGCCUCCUGAGUGCCGGGACUGCAGGUGUGCGCCACCGCGGUUGCUGGUGCUGUAUUUUUAGCUCACUUGGUUAGUGGGGAAAGUGCCGUUACUGAGCUGCCCAAGUCAGCCUGCCCUGUCAAACCAGCAACUGCGUCCCCAUUCUUCCUCUGUUAGGAGAGAUCUGACUGCAUUUUUCUAUUCAAAUAAACACGCUAAGACCAUCUCCAUGGCAACCGGCUCACUUCUGAAUUCACAGCUCCGGAGAACCUUGGGGAGAGUGCUCCUGAGUGCAGGAAAGUGCUGUCGUCUUCAGUACUCUCCGUUCUCCUUUACAUCACGCACCCAUCAGUGGGGAGAGCUUCUUUGGCAAUAGUCAGGGGACAGAAAGGCAGAGGUUGUUCAUAAAGAUCGUCAUUGUGCCAGGCACAGUGGCACACACCUAUGUCCCAGCUUCUCAGGAGGCAGAGGCAGAAGGAUCCCCAAGUUUGAGCCCAGCCUGGGCAACUUAGCAAGACCCCAGAAAGACCUGGAAAUGCAGCUCAGCGCUAAUCACACACACACACACACACACACACACACACACACACACACACACACAGUUUGUCGUCAUGGAGGUUUGGUUUUGUGUUUUGAGACAGGAUCUCACUAUGUAGCUCAGACUGGCCAAGAACUCAAGGUGAUCUUCCUGCCUCAGCCUCCUGAGGGCUGGAUGACUGGCGUGUGCCCCCGUGCCUGGCCUCCUGGGACUAAUUCUUCAUUCUAUCCAGAUGCACGGUUGGGUCACUCUGACAUAGGUGACGGUCGCCUGCUGUCUCCAGUAUCCCCAGCACUGCUGCCUCCCUCGGGACCACACACCUGGACCCCGAGGCCGGGCCUAAACUCAGCAGGUGCCGCCGGUCCCGGCCCCCGUGGACGUCGCUUCACCUCGGGCCUCAGCGUCACGGUCCCCUCCAGGACAGAGCUGGGACGGACGCUGGGCCCCUGGGACUUCUUCAGCCACAUGGACUCCCCCAGCGUCCGGCCUCUGCUCUCUCGGAACAACCUGCCCGCGUGUCAUAGGAAAACACUCAUUUCUACUUCGAGCAGAGUGGUUUAUUUCGGUUUCCUUAGGAAUCCCCGCCAAUUCCUAACUUGGCCACAGCUGUUUAUAACUCAGGUUUAUGAAUAUGUCUUCAGUUCUCCUUAUAAAAGCCCUCAGUGA